AUUGAACGCUGGCGGCAGGCCUAACACAUGCAAGUCGAACGGUAACAGGAAGAAGCUUGCUUCUUUGCUGACGAGUGGCGGACGGGUGAGUAAUGUCUGGGAAACUGCCUGAUGGAGGGGGAUAACUACUGGAAACGGUAGCUAAUACCGCAUAACAUCGCAAGACCAAAGAGGGGGACCUUCGGGCCUCUUGCCAUCGGAUGUGCCCAGAUGGGAUUAGCUAGUAGGUGGGGUAACGGCUCACCUAGGCGACGAUCCCUAGCUGGUCUGAGAGGAUGACCAGCCACACUGGAACUGAGACACGGUCCAGACUCCUACGGGAGGCAGCAGUGGGGAAUAUUGCACAAUGGGCGCAAGCCUGAUGCAGCCAUGCCGCGUGUAUGAAGAAGGCCUUCGGGUUGUAAAGUACUUUCAGCGGGGAGGAAGGGAGUAAAGUUAAUACCUUUGCUCAUUGACGUUACCCGCAGAAGAAGCACCGGCUAACUCCGUG
Molecule: ribosomal RNA, 490 nt
Filed under: uncultured bacterium
Lineage: Bacteria
Description: partial 16S ribosomal RNA
Rfam family: Bacterial small subunit ribosomal RNA
Source: RNAcentral